CAGGUGCUGUGAAGUAGACUGUGUUGCUGUUUGCUGUGGGCUGUCUGACCGCAGAGCAGUAGCUUGAUGAUCGAGCGAGAUUAGAUCAUCACCCAAAAUUAUUCACCUCACUGCAGGUAAAGACAAUAAGAAAACUAGGCAACGUAUCAUUUGAACAGAACCUCGCAUCUCCAAAAAGUUUCUCUAGCACUUCCUCAGUGGUCAGUUUCCAAAGUUGGCUGGAUAUUUUUGGUUGACAGACCACCCUCAACCCAGGAAUGACACUGAAACUGUGUGGAAACCACAGCAAUGCUGUUGUGCCUGAUAUACACAUACAAACAGUUUUGUUGAACAACCUUCUUCCCAUUGGCUCCCGAGUGACACAACCGUCUAAGCGUUGGUCCUACCAUCAGGAGAUCGCUAUAGGUCCCCCAUGGUGUAAACGCCUUGAGAUUCUCAUCAAACAUUUUAAGUAUCUCUCACUCAUAGCUCCAACAAACAAGAGGAGGAAUUGUGUCAAAAGUGCAGAUUCAAAGUUCUGAAUCAACGCUACAUUAGUGUGUUGUCACAAGACUUCUGACCAGAUGCACCAGGGUAUCACAUUCCUCUAAGAGAAGAUCAAAGCUCAUGUGUUAGUCGUACUGGGAGAAGGAGAAGUUGACUGUGUCAGUUCUAAUGGUGAGCCAGACCUAGGCCUUCAUUUAAUGGUCCAUUAAAGUCAAAACUCAAGUCAAAAGAAGGGGGAAAAAAUCUCUAUACUAAAGCCAAUUUCCAUAGCACUCCAAUGGGAUUCCAGUAUGUUAACGUUAACCUGAUGCUCAUUCAUAUGAACAUUUUUUGCCAUUCCAGUUCAAACAUGGACAUUUGAAGCUUGUAAGAGACAUUCUAUGAUUUAUUUGAAAUGUGUAACUGCCAAUUUAAAUGAACACGUUUACAGUCUUGCAGUGACUCAGUUAAGAGCUCUGGCAUGCAGCUGCUGCUAUUUUCCAUUUCUAACAACUGACUGAAGCCUGGUUAGCCUACCACUCAUAUUCCCAGUAAGUGAUGUAUCAAGGACUUUCAGAAAGCAUAGAUUGACCUUUUUUUCCUCUUAAAUUGGUUUCGCCCAUUGGAAAUCAAUGUAUGAUUGGUUGAUUCUAUUAUUAGUUCCUAAUUACAUAAGUGUUUAAUCUAAGAGAUUAAGACUUCUGUCCAGCUCCUGAAGUCCCACCAGUGAGAGAGUUCACUUGACUGCACCUACCUACAUCCCAUUAGGGAAAAAAAUCCUGAUUGGGUGUUACAAGAUUUUAGCCAUUUCCAGCUUAAUAAUGAAGCAAGAGUGUGAAUGCUUGGUUGGCAUAGUGGUUGGUAUAGUGUAGUGGGUAAGUCUACGCUGUAGACUGGGGUUCAAUUCCAGCCUGGGUAAACACCCUACACCAGGGGUGUCAAACUGGUGUUCCAACCAAGCAGAAGCUGUACCUGAUAGUCUUUUUAAAGCCAGGAUCAACUAACUAACCAGGUAGAAUCAGGUGUGGCUUCUGCUUGGUUGGAAUGAAAACCUGCACCCAUACCGGCCCUUUCUGGAUCCAGUUUGACACCCCUGCCCUACACUAUACUAAAAAGAGUCCUUGGACAAGACUCCUAACACUAUCUUCACCCACCUGUGUAAAUUGAUCAAACUGUAAGUUACUCUGGAUAAGAGCGUCUGCCAAAUGCCAUAAAAUACUUGCAGAGCUUAAAUACAAUAAUCAAGCUUGUUCUUGGACACCCCUCCUCAAAUUGAGCUCCAUAAGGACAUGAUUUGACAAGUUUGGUGUGGAGGAACUCCAGUAGCCUACAGAAAGCCCUGACCUCAACCCCACUGGGAUACUCAUUGCAAACCAGGCCUUCUCAUCCAACAUCAGUGCCUGACCUCACAAAUGCUCUUUUGACAGAAUGGCCACAAAUUCACACAGACGCACUCCAAAAUCUCGUGGAAAGCCUUGUUUGAACAGUGGAGGCUGUUAUUGCUGCAGAAAGAGGGUGAAUUCCAUAUUGUUGUCCAUGGUUUUAGAAUGAGAUUUCCAACUCAUGCAAGUAUGAUGUUCAGGUGUCCACAUACUUUUGGCCAUAUAGUGUAACACAUAAACCAAGCCCUGAGGGUUCCCCUCUCGUCAGUUCACAUUUAUAGCUGAGAACUGGCCACAGAAAGAAAACAGAAAAGAGAACUUUAUGUGAAAUACCAGAUAUGUGAUAGCAAAAGAUAGAAAUUGGCUUUGUUGGCCUGCCAUCCUAGUUUUGAAUUUGACCUAAUCUGAAAUGAACUUGUCUUAACCUUGAUAUCUAAAUGAAGUGCUCUGUAUUUUGUCCUUCACUCAUACACACUACUAAACGUGAAUUCUUUGGCUUGAUGUUUUGAUUUUAAUGGCAAUUCAUAACAUGCUUGAGCAUAACAUGCAAUUUCCCCCUGGGAUCAAUAAAGGAAUCUGAAUGUCUCUGCACUGUGUGUACAUGGGUUUACUGUAAAUAUGUGAAGUAUAUGUUAUUAUUUGUACACAAUGUCAGGGCCUUCUGCUACUGUACUGUCCAAAUUUCCCUCAGAGAACAAGAAUACGUAUAAUCUGUUGGCUGCUCUGAAUCCUAGGUAUAUUUUGAAGAAGUUCUAAUGUAUUGUUAGUUCUUAGGAAAUGCUACCUAUUCAGUUUCAGAUUGUGCUGUGCUCCAACCAAGGAGGAACUGUAAUCCAACUUCUCCAAACAUCAGUGUUCAUGUAAGGAGAGAAAAAGGGAACCAUGAAAAAG
This is a long non-coding RNA of Pygocentrus nattereri (red-bellied piranha), 2738 nucleotides long. RefSeq lists it as uncharacterized. NCBI's taxonomy places the organism in Eukaryota, Metazoa, Chordata, Actinopteri, Characiformes, Serrasalmidae. The record is from RefSeq and is a predicted model, not a curated record. The transcript is spliced from 5 exons.